This 496-nucleotide ribosomal RNA is filed under the name uncultured bacterium. Its description in RNAcentral is "partial 16S ribosomal RNA". It matches the Rfam family "Bacterial small subunit ribosomal RNA", at positions 28 to 507 of the family's 1533-position model. The record is from RNAcentral.
GAUGAACGCUGGCGGCGUGCCUAAUACAUGCAAGUCGAGCGAACAGACGAGGAGCUUGCUCCUCUGACGUUGCGGCGGACGGGUGAGUAACACGUGGGUAACCUACCUUUAAGACUGGGAUAACUUCGGGAAACCGGGGCUAAUUCCGGAUUAUAUAUUUAACCCCCUGGUUUAAUAGUGAAAGACGGUUUUUGUUUUACUUAUAGAUUGAUCCGCGCCGCAUUAGCUAGUUGGUAAGGUAACGGCUUACCAAGGCAACGAUGCGUAGCCGACCUGAGAGGGGGAUCGGCCACACUGGAACUGAGACACGGUCCAGACUCCUACGGGAGGCAGCAGUAGGGAAUCUUCCGCAAUGGGCGAAAGCCUGACGGAGCAACGCCGCGUGAGUGAUGAAGGUCUUCGGAUCGUAAAACUCUGUUAUUAGGGAAGAACAAAUGUGUAAGUAACUAUGCACGUCUUGACGGUACCUAAUCAGAAAGCCACGGCUAACUACGUG